CGGGGCAGUGUCCGCUGCCCUGCCGGCAGGUCGGGCAGGGCAGCCCGGGGCUGGGGCAGGGCAGCCCGGGGCUGGGGCCGAACCGAGCCAGGGCAAUCCCGGGCAUUGUAUGCUCCCCUCACCUGUAUCCGCGGUUGGAAGUCCGCGGCGGAAUGCGAUAGACGUUAACAUCGGACUUCACGCAGAGGACAGACUCAUACUCCAGCUCAGCCGCCGCCAUCUCGGCAGCGAUCUCUGGCAAGGAGAGCGAGGGGUGGGAGCCUAGUAACCAGGACCGCUUCCGACCGCCAUCUUUGAUGAAGGCGGACACAGCCUAAGGGUGCCGGGGCGGCAAAGCGAGGGACGUCGAAAGCGCGGAGGAAGUCAUCUUGGACCCUGGCAGCAGAGCGCGCGGGGGCGGGAUGGCGGCCAUCUUGGAGUCGGUUCUGACACAGCAGCGGGGAUCCGGCGCCAUCUUAGCGCCUGGCAGUUCCCCCCACGCAGCCUGGCGCGGCCAUGUUUGGUUCGGGCUGAUGAUAGUGGUGGUUGCCGUCCCGGACCGCAGUCGUGCCAGGAGCGGGAAGAACCGGGCGGCGUGCUGAGGAGGCCUGGAGCUGCACGGUGGGGGAGGGGGGCUGGGCCUGGCGAGGCCUUCAGCUGCUGGCCUGCCGCCAGGCUGCGGUGGCCCGGUGCGCAAGGCACUAGUGUCACGCCGAGAGCUGGGAAGCCACAGCUGGGUCGUGCCCAAACAAGGGGAUGGGGCGUGUGCCACCGCUCCAACAUCGCCCGGGGAGGGGAACCUUGUGGAUCCGUGCAUAUGCUCAGCAAUGUGGGGCUUUUAUUCCUGCAGCCUUGUGCCGAAGGUUGGGUUUUAAGUAAAGAUGGCUUUUUGAGUGGCCUGCGGUGGUGGGAUUGGGAGGCCUAUGGUAAAACAACAAACCGAAGAGAAAGCACGGCAUGAGUGGUUGCAAGUUUUGCAGCUAGAAGCAGUGAAGAUGCCAGCUACAGAAAAGUUAAUCUCAGGAGGUGUGGCUUUGCAGAAGUGCGUCCAAAAUAAGUGUACAGAUCCACGCUUAUUUAUGAAAGAUGGUCAGACUGGUAGCAUUUAAAUAGUUUUUUUUUUAAAUAGUGACUUCCCAAGGAAGACUGAUGCUGACAUUUACUGCUAUGCAGUAGCCUGUGAGACUGCAUAAGUGCUAAAUGCUGGAAAACUGGAGGAAAAGGCAUAAGAAAAGUUGGAAACAAGGUUAUAUACCAACAGCCAGGGGUAGGCAUAGCAUGGGCUAAUUGUGCUAAGUAAUUUAAGCUAAGUAAUAGAAGGCUGAAGAAGCACAGAUUAUUGCUGAGUGAGCAGAGUUUAUUGCAGUUUAUUAUUUUAAGCAAAAAGUGAAUGAAGCAUCACUAACUUUGAGGAAACUUCUUUUUUUUUUUUUCCUGGUGUAGAACAGUGUUAGUUACUGCAGUGACAGCUAAAGCAGUGUCUGGAGAUUUGUUUCUUGCUGCUUCCAGGGAUAAGUGGAACAGGAUGAUGAUGAACCUCAGUCAUAGUAGUCCAACAAGCCAUCCUUCUGUUCACAGCACUGUGUUUCUGACAGUACGCAGUGCAGAAAAACUUUGAAACAAAAGGAGAGUCUGUGCUGCUGAUCCCACAGAUCUGCUUCAUCCCAUUAACCCUUGUCCUGUUGCUAGAUACAAUAGAAAAAAAGGGAUGUGCCAACCUCCUGACAUCCACAAUUUAUAUACCUGUAAGUAUUAAUGAGAUCUCCCCUCAGUCUCCUCUUCUCCAGACUAAACAGCCCCAGUUCCCACAGCCUUUCCUCAUAAGAAAGAUGUUCCAGUCCCCUGAUCAUCUUGGUGUACUGGACUUUCUCUAGAAGUUCCCUGUCCCUCUUGAGCUGAGGAGCCCAGAACUGGACACAGGACUCAGAUGAGGCCUCAUCAGGGCAGAGUAGAGGGGUAGCAAAACCUCCCUUGACCUGCUGGCCACAAUCUUCUUGAUGCAUCCCAGGAUGCCAUUGGCCUUCUUGGCCAUGAGGGCAUAUGGCUGGCUCAUGAUUUACCUUUUGAAUAGUGGUGUAUGUUGACACGUUUUUUCUUAGAACUUUCUGCCAUGUUUUUCUGCUGUUUUUCUCUGAAUGAUAAUAACAUCACUCUGUACAAUCAUGGUUGCAAAUCUAGUAGUUCUCAAUUAGCAAUAUUAAUUUUUGCUUGCCUCUUUAUUAUGCUGUCCUUUGGUGUGACACAAUCCUCCUGGAGUUCUUCUAGAAGGAGAACAUUCAAGAUGAGAGAGUGGGAAAGGAACAACUUUUUAAAGGCACGUGAGGAAAGGUGCACAAGCAGCACCAGGACAUUACGAAUACAUGUCCCAUUCAAUUCCACUUAACCAGCAAAGAAGGUAAUGUUCUUCUGUCUUUUUUGAGCAAGUAUCCCUGGACCAACAAAAUACAAAGCACUGCCAAUAACAGCUGAAGUUUGGAGUUCAUUAUUUGAAAACUUUUUUUAAAGGGUUAAACUAUGAGGUUGAAAUCUUGAAGGAGAACCUAUUUAAAAUCUGACCAUGAAAGCAAGGGAGGAUCCAUAUUCCUCUCACAUGUAAGUCUUCAGUGAAUGAAACUCAAGGAAAAGCGGAAAUCUUGGAUGGAACUCCACAGUGUUCAAUUGUAUAAGAUAUGAUGAAUAAACAGGCUUACACAAGUAGGGUAGGAUGCAAGGUUUGUGUCAAUCUGUAGGCAGCCUCAUAAUAAACCACGAAGAAGAAUCAUUUGGGCUUUUGCUUUUUUUAUUACUUAAGAAAAAAACAUAAGGUAUUGUCCAGGAAUGUACUUAAUGGACAGACCCAACGUUGAGAGUUUUCCUUCUCUGCACAGAAGAAACUAGUCUCACAAAGCUACUCAUUAGAUAGUUGUCCUGGUUUAGCAAGGAGCAGCUUUUGGCUUAGUAACAGGGGGAGCGGGUUGCAGUGAAGACCCGGUAAAGAGUUUGCGGACUCUCCCCCGGCUCCUGGAUUCAGACCCACCUCCGGCCCGUCUGGGCCAAUCUGGCGCCUCUGCGAUCACUAUUUAAGGGACGGAAAUUGGAAUGUGAGUCAGGAGGUGUAAGAGUGAUACAAGAUGGAGGCGACCACGCGGACUCUUCAGCCAGAGAAGGAGGAAGGAAGGAGGAGCAGUAGACCGGAGACCCUUCUGCAAGCCGUGGUGAGAAUGCAAGCUGUGCCCCUGAAACCUAUGGAGAUCCGUGGCAGGACUGAGAGCCACCAGCAGCUCCAUGUGAGUGAGCCCGGACGGGCGAGGGACUGUGUCGGGAGACGGCCAUGGCCCAGGCUGUACUGGAGAGCCUGUGUGCCUCAGAGCAGCCCCACACGAGAGGCAGAGAGGAGCUGCAGCCUUUGGAAUGGGCGCGCGUCGGAGCAGCCCGUGCAGGGCUGCCAUGUGUGUGAGUUACCCCACGGACUUGCAGGGAGGACUGGUGUGGAGUUCACCCGUCCUGAGGAGGGACAAACAGCAGAAGCUAUCGGGAACAGACUAACUGAAACCCCCACUGCCUGCCCCCCCGAACCGUUCAGGGGGGGGGGCAAGGUAAAAACCCCAGGAUCAGGGCUCUGAGCCCGGGAAGAGGGGAGGUGUGGCGGGAAGGUGUUCUUAAAAAGGCUGGUUGGACUCUUCAUUGACGUAUUCCUCUGUGUUGUUUCGUUUUGGUUAUGUUUUGGGUUUUUGUGGGUAUGUUUUAGUUGAUGUUGCAUUAAAUUAUUUUCUGUUUUCUUCCCCAAA
Long non-coding RNA from Colius striatus (speckled mousebird), 3746 nucleotides. RefSeq lists it as uncharacterized. Lineage: Eukaryota; Metazoa; Chordata; Aves; Coliiformes; Coliidae. The transcript is spliced from 2 exons. The record is from RefSeq and is a predicted model, not a curated record.